This is a long non-coding RNA of Branchiostoma floridae (Florida lancelet), 2399 nucleotides long. RefSeq lists it as uncharacterized. The transcript has 2 exons. Lineage: Eukaryota; Metazoa; Chordata; Leptocardii; Amphioxiformes; Branchiostomatidae. The record is from RefSeq and is a predicted model, not a curated record.
CAUUUUCGUGACGAGACAAAUGCGACCGCAACCCUCUUCGAGGAAGGAAUGAAAGACGGCCAUGUUUAGCGCUAUUUUGCUGGUGCUUUGCGCCUUUCUUAUGCUGUGUUGGGUGACAGAAAUCGAACUUUUCGGCCUGUACCUGGUACAGAGAUACACCUGGGAUGAGCUGUACCCUAUCAUAUACCUGUGGGCUGAACGGCCUGAGGAUCAGCGCCAGAGACGAGUUCGUCAUUUCUGAUAUGCCCAGAAAAAUCCACUGUGGAGGAACAAUGUCCUUUCUGACAGAAAGUGAAGACCAUUCUGAUGCACCCAAAAUCCAUUGCAAAGUCCCCAAUCUUGAGACCUUAACUUACCCAAGAGAUAUUGAAGUCCAUCCCUACGCAAGUACUACAUAUACCAGUGAAGAAAGUGGCAACAACAGAGGACAACCUUUGCAGGUGAAGGAAGGUGCAAAGCAGCAACAAGACAACAAGUGGAACUGUGAUUCUGAUGAAGGACUGAAAGUUGAUGUGCCUCCCUGCAAGGAAUCGCCCUCCGUAGAAGACAAUGUAGAAGACCCCCAGAGAAAAGUCACAGAAGUAGAUAACUGUUGCACCAAGAAAACUUCAUGUGACAGCUUCAGGAUGGAAGAAGCACCACUGUACAACUGUAUGUCCCAAGAACAGACAAGAAGACAAGUCAGACAUAAAAAAUUAACUGUUAAAGUAAGGGCCAAGCUAGUUCACCGCAAUUUAGGUAUAGUAGAGGGUGAAAAGAAGAGCAAAUCAACAAAACUAUGUGUAAUACAAAGUCAGGAAAAGAAGAUAUGGAUAUUGUUUAACAAUUAUUUAAAUGUGUACAGCUGCAUGGUUUUGGCAAGUAUAUUACAACAACUGUGUAUGUGCAGAUUAAGUAUUGAAAGGUGAUAGAUCUAAAGAAGUGUAAGAAAAAUUCCAAAUGUGAUUCACUAUGUUGCAGAUAACACGGUAAAAGCACAAACCAGUAGAAAGAUGGACGUGUGUUCAAAAACACACAUAAGUAAGUUUAGGUUGCUUGUGCUAGGUAGAUAGAUUGAAACACAAUCUUUUGUUGCCAAAGAAAUUGUUGAGAACUAGCACUGUCAACUGUAUCUUGAUUCUUAUGCUACCAAUGGAAUUGUUUUCUUUUUGUUUUUAAGGAAAUUCAGAUAUUUCGUAUCUGUUAAGUUUUUAGAGUUACCAGUAUUCCAUGGAAGCCAAGUGACUAGUUAAAAGUACAAGUAAUUGUUGUUACAAAUAUCAUCUUAUGUAUUAUUAUGCAAAGCCAGGCAUGGAAAAUGAGGUUCUCGUCAUGUUGAAAAAUAUGUUUGCAGCCAAAACAGUUCCAUAUUACUCUAGAACUAGUAGUAGCAGUACAAUGGGGAAGCAUUCUCAGUGUUACUCGCUGUCAAAAUUUCACCACAAUGACCUUGAGGAGAAUACCACUGCAAACAACAGUCAAUAGCUGGUUAUUGUAAUGAUGAUGUCAUGUAAAUUUUGUAAAUGUACAAAAAUCUUGCUUGUGGUGCUGCCGCUGCUGCUCAAAGUAUAGAUGGCCAAAAUUUAUUUAUUAGAAGUUUAAAUAUCUGAUUAACCUGUGUAAUAAAGUACAGUCAAAACUGCCCAAGAUGACCACUCAGGGGACUGAUAAGUGACAGGUGGUGACUGUAGACGAUGGAAAAAAUUAUCUAAGGCACCACCAAAAAGUGGCCAGGUGGUCCUUCAGUAGAAGUGGUGUCUUGUUCAGAUCUGACUGUACUGCUCUUGUGAUUGGAUAUUUUCGAAAAGCAUGAAUGAAGUACUCUCCAAGCCCAGGCCUUAAAGUAAAGGUACGGCAGCGAGACAUCAAGAAAACAGUACAAAAUAGAAAGGCUGAUAAAAACGUUUAAAAAAGCCUAACCUCUGCUUGGAGAGAAUGAAUGAAGGGUGCAGGUUACAUUGUUGUUUUGCAUUGUGAACAGAAGCUACCUGAAGAACAGGUCAGCUUGACCUUCAGUAUUUAUAUAUGUAUGCCCCCUGGUGAGAUAAAUCAAGUGAAGCGUAGUGAGACUUGCUUGUAAGGCUACAGUCUGAUGAACAGUGAGAAUGGUACUGUAAAGCUUGAAACUGAAGCAGUGGUUUUAUGUUGGGGUACGAUGAAAAAGGGUGCUUUAAUUCACAUUGGAAACAAACCUGCUUACAGUAUACGACUACUAUGCGUCAUUAAGAAUACAUAUUUACAGUGUCAUGAAUUUGUGGUGGAGGUCACUGCAAAAUAAAACCAAUGCAAAAGUUUCAAAGAUUUACAGUACAGUUUGUAAGUCUACGUGAUUGGUGCAUUGUACUUUAUCUUUGACAUAAACAACAGCCCUAGGCCAUUGUAGAAAGAGCACUUUGUUGUCAAGUCUGUCCCCAAAAAAA